AGACCCGAAACCCGGUGAUCUAGCCAUGGGCAGGUUGAAGGUUGGGUAACACUAACUGGAGGACCGAACCGACUAAUGUUGAAAAAUUAGCGGAUGACCUGUGGCUGGGGGUGAAAGGCCAAUCAAACCGGGAGAUAGCUGGUUCUCCCCGAAAGCUAUUUAGGUAGCGCCUCGUGAAUUCAUCUCCGGGGGUAGAGCACUGUUUCGGCUAGGGGGCCAUCCCGGCUUACCAACCCGAUGCAAACUGCGAAUACCGGAGAAUGUUAUCACGGGAGACACACGGCGGGUGCUAACGUCCGUCGUGAAGAGGGAAACAACCCAGACCGCCAGCUAAGGUCCCAAAGUCAUGGUUAAGUGGGAAACGAUGUGGGAAGGCCCAGACAGCCAGGAUGUUGGCUUAGAAGCAGCCAUCAUUUAAAGAAAGCGUAAUAGCUCACUGGUCGAGUCGGCCUGCGCGGAAGAUGUAACGGGGCUAAACCAUGCACCGAAGCUGCGGCAGCGACACUGUGUGUUGUUGGGUAGGGGAGCGUUCUGUAAGCCUGUGAAGGUGUGUCGUGAGGCAUGCUGGAGGUAUCAGAAGUGCGAAUGCUGACAUAAGUAACGAUAAAGCGGGUGAAAAGCCCGCUCGCCGGAAGACCAAGGGUUCCUGUCCAACGUUAAUCGGGGCAGGGUGAGUCGACCCCUAAGGCGAGGCCGAAAGGCGUAGUCGAUGGGAAACGGGUUAAUAUUCCCGUACUUGGUGUUACUGCGAAGGGGGGACGGAGAAGGCUAUGUUGGCCGGGCGACGGUUGUCCCGGUUUAAGCGUGUAGGUGUGUGUUCCAGGUAAAUCCGGUUCACUUUAACACUGAGGCGUGACGACGAGGCACUACGGUGCUGAAGCAACAAAUGCCCUGCUUCCAGGAAAAGCCUCUAAGCAUCAGGUAACAUCAAAUCGUACCCCAAACCGACACAGGUGGUCAGGUAGAGAAUACCAAGGCGCUUGAGAGAACUCGGGUGAAGGAACUAGGCAAAAUGGUGCCGUAACUUCGGGAGAAGGCACGCUGACACGUAGGUGAAGUGAUUUACUCAUGGAGCUGAAGUCAGUCGAAGAUACCAGCUGGCUGCAACUGUUUAUUAAAAACACAGCACUGUGCAAACACGAAAGUGGACGUAUACGGUGUGACGCCUGCCCGGUGCCGGAAGGUUAAUUGAUGGGGUCAGCGCAAGCGAAGCUCCUGAUCGAAGCCCCGGUAAACGGCGGCCGUAACUAUAACGGUCCUAAGGUAGCGAAAUUCCUUGUCGGGUAAGUUCCGACCUGCACGAAUGGCGUAAUGAUGGCCAGGCUGUCUCCACCCGAGACUCAGUGAAAUUGAACUCGCUGUGAAGAUGCAGUGUACCCGCGGCAAGACGGAAAGACCCCGUGAACCUUUACUAUAGCUUGACACUGAACAUUGAGCCUUGAUGUGUAGGAUAGGUGGGAGGCUUUGAAGUGUGGACGCCAGUCUGCAUGGAGCCGACCUUGAAAUACCACCCUUUAAUGUUUGAUGUUCUAACGUGGACCCGUUACCCGGGUUGCGGACAGUGUCUGGUGGGUAGUUUGACUGGGGCGGUCUCCUCCUAAAGAGUAACGGAGGAGCACGAAGGUUGGCUAAUCCUGGUCGGACAUCAGGAGGUUAGUGCAAUGGCAUAAGCCAGCUUGACUGCGAGCGUGACGGCGCGAGCAGGUGCGAAAGCAGGUCAUAGUGAUCCGGUGGUUCUGAAUGGAAGGGCCAUCGCUCAACGGAUAAAAGGUACUCCGGGGAUAACAGGCUGAUACCGCCCAAGAGUUCAUAUCGACGGCGGUGUUUGGCACCUCGAUGUCGGCUCAUCACAUCCUGGGGCUGAAGUAGGUCCCAAGGGUAUGGCUGUUCGCCAUUUAAAGUGGUACGCGAGCUGGGUUUAGAACGUCGUGAGACAGUUCGGUCCCUAUCUGCCGUGGGCGCUGGAGAACUGAGGGGGGCUGCUCCUAGUACGAGAGGACCGGAGUGGACGCAUCACUGGUGUUCGGGUUGUCAUGCCAAUGGCACUGCCCGGUAGCUAAAUGCGGAAGAGAUAAGUGCUGAAAGCAUCUAAGCACGAAACUUGCCCCGAGAUGAGUUCUCCCUGAGACUUAGAGUCUCCUGAAGGAACGUUGAAGACGACGACGUUGAUAGGCCGGGUGUGUAAGCGCAGCGAUGCGUUGAGCUAACCGGUACUAAUGAACCGUGAGGCUUAACCUUACAACGCCG
RNAcentral lists this ribosomal RNA (2247 nucleotides) under Salmonella enterica. RNAcentral's name for it is "partial 23S ribosomal RNA". It matches the Rfam family "Bacterial large subunit ribosomal RNA", at positions 711 to 2925 of the family's 2925-position model. The record is from RNAcentral. RNAcentral also lists the same sequence under 1 other name. Lineage: Bacteria; Pseudomonadati; Pseudomonadota; Gammaproteobacteria; Enterobacterales; Enterobacteriaceae.